GACGAACGCUGGCGGCGUGCCUAAUACAUGCAAGUCGAACGAACGGAGCUAGGAACUUGUUCCCGGCAAAGUUAGUGGCGCACGGGUGAGUAACACGUGGAGAACCUACCCUUUUGCGGGGGAUAACCAUUGGAAACGAUGACUAAUACCGCAUAGAAUCGCAGAUCGCAUGAUCAACGAAGGAAAGACGGCUUCGGCUGUCACAAAAGGAUGGCUCCGCGGUGCAUUAGCUAGAUGGUGGGGUAACGGCCUACCAUGGCAAUGAUGCAUAGCCGACCUGAGAGGGUGAUCGGCCACAUUGGGACUGAGACACGGCCCAAACUCCUACGGGAGGCAGCAGUAGGGAAUCUUCCGCAAUGGGCGCAAGCCUGACGGAGCAACGCCGCGUGUGUGAAGAAGGUCUUCGGAUCGUAAAGCACUGUUGUUAGAGAAGAACGACCGCUAGAGUAACUGUUAGUGGAGUGACGGUAUCUAACCAGAAAGCCACGGCUAACUACGUGCCAGCAGCCGCGGUAAUGCGUAGGUGGCAAGCGUUGUCCGGAUUUAUUGGGCGUAAAGGGAGCGCAGGCGGUGACUUAAGUCUGAUGUGAAAGCCCACGGCUCAACCGUGGAGGGUCAUUGGAAACUGGGUCACUUGAGUGCAGAAGAGGAAAGUGGAAUUCCAUGUGUAGCGGUGAAAUGCGUAGAUAUAUGGAGGAACACCAGUGGCGAAAGCGACUUUCUGGUCUGUUACUGACGCUGAGCUCGAAAACGUGGGGAGCAAACAAG
This 768-nucleotide ribosomal RNA is filed under the name uncultured Facklamia sp. RNAcentral's name for it is "bacterial SSU rRNA". It matches the Rfam family "Bacterial small subunit ribosomal RNA", at positions 28 to 776 of the family's 1533-position model. Lineage: Bacteria; Bacillati; Bacillota; Bacilli; Lactobacillales; Aerococcaceae. The record is from RNAcentral.